UACGUAGGGUGCAAGCGUUGCCCGGAAUUAUUGGGCGUAAAGAGCUCGUAGGCGGUCUGUCGCGUCGGCUGUGAAAACCCGGAGCUCAACUCCGGGCCUGCAGUCGAUACGGGCAAACUGGAGUGUUGCAGGGGAGACUGGAAUUCCUGGUGUAGCGGUGAAAUGCGCAGAUAUCAGGAGGAACACCGGUGGCGAAGGCGGGUCUCUGGGCAACAACUGACGCUGAGGAGCGAAAGCGUGGGGAGCGAACAGG
This 253-nucleotide ribosomal RNA is filed under the name uncultured bacterium. RNAcentral describes it as "partial 16S ribosomal RNA". It matches the Rfam family "Bacterial small subunit ribosomal RNA", at positions 524 to 776 of the family's 1533-position model. The record is from RNAcentral.